GCGGAAUUGGUGAAGUGGACUAACACAACCGGCUGUGAACCGGCCAUUCACGGGUUCGAAUCCCGUAUCCCGCCCCA
RNAcentral lists this transfer RNA (77 nucleotides) under Bacillota bacterium. RNAcentral describes it as "tRNA-His". It matches the Rfam family "tRNA". From Rfam's summary of the family: Transfer RNA (tRNA) molecules are approximately 80 nucleotides in length. Their secondary structure includes four short double-helical elements and three loops (D, anti-codon, and T loops). Lineage: Bacteria; Bacillati; Bacillota. The record is from RNAcentral.